This 464-nucleotide ribosomal RNA is filed under the name Bacillus pumilus. RNAcentral describes it as "bacterial SSU rRNA". It matches the Rfam family "Bacterial small subunit ribosomal RNA", at positions 67 to 514 of the family's 1533-position model. The record is from RNAcentral. Lineage: Bacteria; Bacillati; Bacillota; Bacilli; Caryophanales; Bacillaceae.
CGGACAGAAGGGAGCUUGCUCCCGGAUGUUAGCGGCGGACGGGUGAGUAACACGUGGGUAACCUGCCUGUAAGACUGGGAUAACUCCGGGAAACCGGAGCUAAUACCGGAUAGUUCCUUGAACCGCAUGGUUCAAGGAUGAAAGACGGUUUCGGCUGUCACUUACAGAUGGACCCGCGGCGCAUUAGCUAGUUGGUGAGGUAACGGCUCACCAAGGCGACGAUGCGUAGCCAACCUGAGAGGGUGAUCGGCCACACUGGGACUGAGACACGGCCCAGACUCCUACGGGAGGCAGCAGUAGGGAAUCUUCCGCAAUGGACGAAAGUCUGACGGAGCAACGCCGCGUGAGUGAUGAAGGUUUUCGGAUCGUAAAGCUCUGUUGUUAGGGAAGAACAAGUGCAAGAGUAACUGCUUGCACCUUGACGGUACCUAACCAGAAAGCCACGGCUAACUACGUGCCAGCCG